UUGGGUUAAGUCCCGCAACGAGCGCAACCCUCGCCCUUAGUUGCCAUCAUUAAGUUGGGCACUCUAAGGGGACUGCCGGUGAUAAGCCGAGAGGAAGGUGGGGAUGACGUCAAGUCCUCAUGGCCCUUACGGGCUGGGCUACACACGUGCUACAAUGGUGGUGACAGUGGGCAGCGAGACAGUGAUGUCGAGCUAAUCUCCAAAAGCCAUCUCAGUUCGGAUUGCACUCUGCAACUCGGGUGCUUGAAGUUGGAAUCGCUAGUAAUCGCGGAUCAGCAUGCCGCGGUGAAUACGUUCCCGGGCCUUGUACACACCGCCCGUCACACCAUGGGAGUUGGUUCUACCCGAAGGCGCUGCGCUAACCGCAAGGAAGCAGGCGACCACGGUAGGGUCAGCGACUGGGGUGAAGUCGUAACAAGGUAACCA
Molecule: ribosomal RNA, 426 nt
Filed under: uncultured Alphaproteobacteria bacterium
Lineage: Bacteria; Pseudomonadati; Pseudomonadota; Alphaproteobacteria
Description: bacterial SSU rRNA
Rfam family: Bacterial small subunit ribosomal RNA
Source: RNAcentral